This 301-nucleotide ribosomal RNA is filed under the name uncultured bacterium. Its description in RNAcentral is "partial 16S ribosomal RNA". It matches the Rfam family "Bacterial small subunit ribosomal RNA", at positions 509 to 807 of the family's 1533-position model. The record is from RNAcentral.
CAGUAGCCACGGUAAUACGAAGGGUGCAAGCGUUACUCGGAAUUACUGGGCGUAAAGCGUGCGUAGGUGGUGGUUUAAGUCCGUUGUGAAAGCCCUGGGCUCAACCUGGGAAUUGCAGUGGAUACUGGAUCACUAGAGUGUGGUAGAGGAUAGUGGAAUUUCCGGUGUAGCAGUGAAAUGCGUAGAGAUCGGAAGGAACAUCUGUGGCGAAGGCGACUAUCUGGGCCAACACUGACACUGAGGCACGAAAGCGUGGGGAGCAAACAGGAUUAGAUACCCCCGUAGUCCCUGUCUCUUAUAC